Molecule: long non-coding RNA, 1306 nt
Organism: Oncorhynchus nerka (sockeye salmon)
Lineage: Eukaryota; Metazoa; Chordata; Actinopteri; Salmoniformes; Salmonidae
Exons: 5
Source: RefSeq, a predicted model, not a curated record
GUUGAUGACACCUGUUACGAAUCCCUUUUGGCCCGACAGUCUAGGGGGGAUGGUAAUGAGACCCGUAACAUAACUCAUGCAAAUUAUUAUUGUGACAAAGUAAAAGUGUGCACGAAAUAACCACGACAACAGAAAUCUACCGUCAAACUCUAGGUUUAUUUAUAAACACACGGUAAUGGGGGGAGCAGGAAAAGGGGCUGAGCUGGACCCAAGAAAAGAAACAAUAAGUAUUCAAAAACACCCCUAAGCUAGACUAGCCUACUUUAACAACAGCUAACUAACUAACCAAAAAUACAGUGGGUGGUCCGCCCAGUUCUAACUAGUGUAUUUAACAAAGUUCACCUACGGGUAGUGUAUGCCCAUGGGCGACUUGUCUUGGUUUCCCCCUUUUCCUACCAGCAACAAACAAACACCAUAACCAAAAACAAUACUCACAGGUGAUGACAAAGUGCUAUGGAGGUGCUUUAACAAAAGAGAGGUGAAGACACAAAGCGAGAGUGAACCACAGAGACCUACAGACAUGGCAUUUACAGAGAGAUUGAGCUAGAGAUUGAGCUUGAGAUUGAGCUCUAGAACAAACAAAUGAUGGGGUUUUUAAACCAUGGGGAAGGAACUGUGAUAGGGUAGGAAGUAGGAGGUGUGUCUUCUGAUUGAUGAUUGAUUGGGGAGUGAUGAUUUUCACCUGUGAGGGGAGAAGGAGAGAAAAGAAACACACACACACAGGAUAACUGUAUCCGUAACAACACCACUCUGCUGUUCGAGGGACACUUCGAGUGUGGCAACUUGCUGAAAGCAACAAGAGUUGGUAAAUGUAAUUAUGAGCUCUCUCUGCGCACCAACCUGUACACAGAGAAGCACACUCAGUGGUUCUACUUCCAGGUGAGGAACACCCGUGUGUAGGUGCGUUACCGUUUAACAUCGCCAAACUGCUGAAGGUGACCAGCCUGUAUGAGGAGGGGAAGCUGCCCCUGCUCUACUCUGAGGAGAAGGCCCAGGUCCAGGGGGUGGGCUGGCAUCUUGUGGGUCAACAGGCCUCCUACCAAUGUAACGGGCGCCAGCACAACAACCAGCCCAGCUACACCCUCUCCUGGAUCUUCUGCUUCCCUUACUGCCAGAUGAACGUGGUACCUUCAGGUAUUUGGAAAUUGCUCCCACGGAUGAAUCAGACCUGUGGACGUCUUUUGAUUUUCCCAUGAUGUCAAGCAAAGAGGCACUGAGUUUGAAGCUGAUGGCUCCUCCAGCCGCACCCAGGAGGGAGCCUCCCAAAUGGAGGGAGAUACUAGUCCCCCCAGAGCCCAGCCUUCCA